AGUUGGUAAGGUAAUGGCUUACCAAGGCUAUGACGGGUAGGGGACCUGAGAGGGUGGCCCCCCACAAUGGAAGUGAAACACGGUCCAUACACCUACGGGUGGCAGCAGUAGGGAAUAUUAGUAAUGGGCGAAAGCCUGAACUAGCAACGCCGCGUGUGCGAAGAAGGCCUUCGGGUUGUAAAGCACUUUUAGAGAGGAUGAGGAAGGACGGUACUCUCAGAAUAAGUCUCGGCUAACUACGUGCCAGCAGCCGCGGUAACACGUAGGAGGCGAACGUUAUCCGGAUUUACUGGGCGUAAAGCGCGUGUAGGUGGUUUGGUAAGUAGGGCGUGAAAGCUCCCGGCUCAACUGGGAGAGGCCGUUCUAAACUGCCAAGCUAGAGGAUGGUAGAGGGAGGCGGAAUUCCGGGUGUAGCGGUGGAAUGCGCAGAUAUCCGGAGGAACACCAGUGGCGAAGGCGGCCUCCUGGGCCACUCAUGACAGUCAGACGCGAAAGAUAGGGUAGCAAACGGGAUUAGAGACCCCGGUAGUCCUAGCCCUAAACGAUGUAGACCGGCGUCGGUGGUUUAAACGCCAUCGGUGUCGCAGC
RNAcentral lists this ribosomal RNA (588 nucleotides) under uncultured bacterium. Its description in RNAcentral is "bacterial SSU rRNA". It matches the Rfam family "Bacterial small subunit ribosomal RNA", at positions 247 to 852 of the family's 1533-position model. The record is from RNAcentral.